This 29-nucleotide non-coding RNA is filed under the name Mus musculus (house mouse). Lineage: Eukaryota; Metazoa; Chordata; Mammalia; Rodentia; Muridae. The record is from RNAcentral.
UGCAAUUAUUAUGAAAAAUAAAUUGGGGA